RNAcentral lists this long non-coding RNA (854 nucleotides) under Nicotiana tabacum (common tobacco). Its description in RNAcentral is "long non-coding RNA (NTAB_LNC007417)". Lineage: Eukaryota; Viridiplantae; Streptophyta; Magnoliopsida; Solanales; Solanaceae. The record is from RNAcentral.
AAAUAUGUUCAGUGUUCUUUCCUUCUAUUUUAUUUCGAUUACUGUUUAAAAAUUUGAAUAUUUAUAUAUUCCGUCUCUUCUUUUCAAUCUAGAUUUUGGUUGAAAAAUGGAGUUUGAUUGAGAAGUCGUUGAGUUCGUCGCUGCUCAAGGUGUCGAUUUUCGUCCGCUGUUGCCUUUUCAGUUCGAUUUCAAUUUUGUUGUUGGGUUUCUCAUUGUAUAUUCACGGCCGAAGUUUAAUCGAAAGCUCAAUUUCAGGUUCAUUUUCUGACUCUUUCCCUUAUCUUGAUUGUGGUGUUAAUCUCAGUAUGGUCAAGGCCAUAGGUCUAACAGAUUUUGGGGAGUGUUUGAAUCUUGAGUGUAGGGAUUAACUAAGGUUGGAUCCGUGUGCUUUUUUGUUCCAUUCAUGACUUUGUUUAUGUGUUUUAAUAUAUCACUUCAGAUCUAAACGCUUUUGUUUGAUAUGAUCGAUUCGAGUUCGGCAUGGUCAUAUAGUUAUUGGAAGGAUCAUGAAAUCAGUGAUGACUUGCUUGCAAUUUUCAUAAGUGUUUCGGCAUGUUCCUGUCAGCUUUAAGUUGUUAGACUCUCACUCACUGGAUGUUCUUUGGGUGCUUGUUGAAUCACUUUAGUCGUUCCGACAUUUUGAAGCAUGUCUCGUUGUGCUUAAAUCAGUUCGGUUGAUCUUUGUAGUCAUUUCAGGUACGAAAUCAGUUCAGAGAUUUUUUCUGUUAGCUUGAUAUGAGAAAUGCUGUUGAGUCCCUGUUGGUUUAUAUGUUUGUUGAUGUACAGAUCGAUCCAUACUUUUGUGAAAAAUACUUAAUAUGUUGUGUUUUGUGUAUGUCGAGGUUCGAGAUGGC